Molecule: ribosomal RNA, 468 nt
Filed under: uncultured bacterium
Lineage: Bacteria
Description: partial 16S ribosomal RNA
Rfam family: Bacterial small subunit ribosomal RNA
Source: RNAcentral
GACGAACGCUGGCGGCGUGCUUAACACAUGCAAGUCGAACGGAAAGGCCCUGCUUUUGUGGGGUGCUCGAGUGGCGAACGGGUGAGUAACACGUGAGUAACCUGCCCUUGACUUUGGGAUAACUUCAGGAAACUGGGGCUAAUACCGGAUAGGAGCUCCUGCUGCAUGGUGGGGGUUGGAAAGUUUCGGCGGUUGGGGAUGGACUCGCGGCUUAUCAGCUUGUUGGUGGGGUAGUGGCUUACCAAGGCUUUGACGGGUAGCCGGCCUGAGAGGGUGACCGGCCACAUUGGGACUGAGAUACGGACCAGACUGCUACGGGAGGCAGCAGUGGGGAAUAUUGCACAAUGGGGGGAAGCCUGAUGCAGCAACGCCGCGUGCGGGAUGACGGCCUUCGGGUUGUAAACCGCUUUCGCCUGUGACGAAGCGUGAGUGACGGUAAUGGGUAAAGAAGCACCGGCUAACUACGUG